CCGUGGAUCAUCGACUCGGUUUUAAACUUUGGAAACAGGAAGAGUAGUGAGGAAGCUAGGGCACCAAUGCGAGGAUGUGACGUAGGGGGAAGCAAGAGAGCUAAAGUACAUAUUUUAUCUCACACUUUCGCGAAUAAUAUUGAUCGGAAUAAAUUUGACCAUACGAAUCCUCGAGACUUGUUCUGCAUAGAAGAACGUUUUCCUUCUACAUAGAUCAACAUAACUUCUUUUUUUUUUUUUUACUUGUUUAGCUUUUGUAAGACAAUAUUAAAACAAAAAUCAAUAGAGCUUGUAGGGUUGAUUCAAUAUUGAUUAUUGUGUCACCUAAUGUUUGAAGCAUAAUUCACUAAAAACAUGAAUCAUAAAUCAUAAUUCAGGGAAAAUAUAUGCAUUGGGAAAUAUAGAUGAAAACUCUAGAAAAA
RNAcentral lists this long non-coding RNA (422 nucleotides) under Capsella rubella. Its description in RNAcentral is "long non-coding RNA (CRUB_LNC001243)". The record is from RNAcentral. Lineage: Eukaryota; Viridiplantae; Streptophyta; Magnoliopsida; Brassicales; Brassicaceae.